Molecule: ribosomal RNA, 116 nt
Filed under: Candidatus Poribacteria bacterium
Lineage: Bacteria; Candidatus Poribacteria
Source: RNAcentral
UUCGGUGAGGAUAGCGCAGGGGAUCCACCCGUUCCCAUUCCGAACACGGAAGUUAAGCCCUGCGACGCCGAUGAUACUGCCCGGGCGACUGGGUGGGAAAGUAGGUAUUGCCGAGG